CUUUCUGUAUUUCAAUUGGAUAGAAUACGAGCCUCCUAAGCUUGUGAUAUGGGUUCAAAUCCCGUCAGAAAGA
Molecule: transfer RNA, 73 nt
Filed under: Caudoviricetes sp.
Lineage: Duplodnaviria; Heunggongvirae; Uroviricota; Caudoviricetes
Description: tRNA-Arg
Rfam family: tRNA
About the family: Transfer RNA (tRNA) molecules are approximately 80 nucleotides in length. Their secondary structure includes four short double-helical elements and three loops (D, anti-codon, and T loops). Further hydrogen bonds mediate the characteristic L-shaped molecular structure. tRNAs have two regions of fundamental functional importance: the anti-codon, which is responsible for specific mRNA codon recognition, and the 3' end, to which the tRNAs corresponding amino acid is attached (by aminoacyl-tRNA synthetases). tRNAs cope with the degeneracy of the genetic code in two manners: having more than one tRNA (with a specific anti-codon) for a particular amino acid; and 'wobble' base-pairing, i.e. permitting non-standard base-pairing at the 3rd anti-codon position.
Source: RNAcentral